CCUUUACCCUGAGGUCAUAGCUCAUCCUUUACCCUGAGGUCAUAGUUCAUCCUUUACCCUGAGGUCAUGGUUUAUCCUUUACCCUGAGGUCAUAGCUCAUCCUUUACCCUGAGGUCAUGGUUUAUCCUUUACCCUGAGGUCAUAGUUUAUCCUUUACCCUGAGGUCAUGGUUUAUCCUUUACCCUGAGGUCAAAGUUCAUCCUUUACCCUGAGGUCAUGGUUUAUCCUUUACCCUGAGGUCAUAGUUUAUCCUUUACCCUGAGGUCAUGGUUUAUCCUUUACCCUGAGGUCAAAGUUCAUCCUUUACCCUGAGGUCAUAGCUCAUCAUUUACCCUGAGGUCAUAGCUCAUCCUUUACCCUGAGGUCAUAGCUCAUCCUUUACCCUGAGGUCAUAGCUCAUCCUUUACCCUGAGGUCAUAGCUCAUCCUUUACCCUGAGGUCAUAGCUCAUCCUUUACCCUGAGGUCAUAGCUCAUCCUUUACCCUGAGGUCAUAGCUCAUCCUUUACCCUGAGGUCAUAGCUCAUCCUUUACCCUGAGGUCAUAGCUCAUCCUUUACCCUGAGGUCAUAGCUCAUCAUUUACCCUGAGGUCAUAGUUCAUCAUUUAUUCUGAGGUCAUGGUCCAUCCUUUACCAUGAGGUCAUAGCUCAUCCUUUACCCUGAGGUCAUAGCUCAUCCUUUACCCUGAGGUCAUAGCUCAUCCUUUACCCUGAGGUCAUAGCUCAUCCUUUACCCUGAGGUCAUAGCUCAUCCUUUACCCUGAGGUCAUAUCUCAUCCUUUACCCUGAGGUCAUAGCUCAUCCUUUACCCUGAGGUCAUAGCUCAUCCUUUACCCUGGGGUCAUAGCUCAUCCUUUACCCUGAGGUCAUAGCUCAUCCUUUACCCUGAGGUCAUGGUCCAUUCUGUACCCUGAGGUCAUAGCUCAUCCUUUACCCUGAGGUCAUGGUCCAUUCUGUACCCUGAGGUCAUAGUUCAUCCUUUACCCUGAAGUCAUAGCUCAUCCUUUACCCUGAGGUCAUAGCUCAUCCUUUACCCUGAGGUCAUAGCUCAUCCUUUACCCUGAGGUCAUGGUCCAUUCUGUACCCUGAGGUCAUAGCUCAUCCUUUACCCUGAGGUCAUAGCUCAUCCUUUACCCUGAGGUCAUAGCUCAUCCUUUACCCUGAGGUCAUGGUCCAUUCUGUACCCUGAAGUCAUAGCUCAUCCUUUACCCUGAGGUCAUAGCUCAUCCUUUACCCUGAGGUCAUAGUUCAUCCUUUACCCUGAAGUCAUAGCUCAUCCUUUACCCUGAGGUCAUGAUUCAUCCUUUACUAUGAGGUCAUAGCUCAUCCUUUACCCUGAGGUCAUAGCUCAUCCUUUACCCUGAGGUCAUAGCUCAUCCUUUACCCUGAGGUCAUGGUCCAUUCUGUACCCUGAGGUCAUAGUUCAUCCUUUACCCUGAGGUCAUGAUUCAUCCUUUACCAUGAGGUCAUAGCUCAUCCUUUACCCUGAGGUCAUGGUCCAUUCUGUACCCUGAAGUCAUAGCUCAUCCUUUACCCUGAGGUCAUAGCUCAUCCUUUACCCUGAGGUCAUAGUUCAUCCUUUACCCUGAAGUCAUAGCUCAUCCUUUACCCUGAGGUCAUAGUUCAUCCUUUACCCUGAGGUCAUAGCUCAUCCUUUACCCUGGGCUCAGGUUGGAAGUAGUGCACUACAGAGGGAAUAGGGUGCCAUUCUGGUCAACAGUAGUGCACUACAGAGGGAAUAGGGUGCCAUUCUGGUCAACAGUAGUGCACUACAGAGGGAACAGGGUGCCAUUCUAGUCAACAGUAGUGCACUACAGAGCGUAGGGUGUAACUUGGGACGCUACCGGGGUCUUCCACCACUUCUGUUGUUUUGUAUAUCUGUAUUUGGCACUUUAUCAGACGGGCCCACCCUGCUGCAUAUCUGCAUUAAAUAUUUAAC
Oncorhynchus keta (chum salmon) is the source of this 1937-nucleotide long non-coding RNA. RefSeq lists it as uncharacterized. The record is from RefSeq and is a predicted model, not a curated record. NCBI's taxonomy places the organism in Eukaryota, Metazoa, Chordata, Actinopteri, Salmoniformes, Salmonidae. The transcript has 3 exons.